AAAAAGUAUUUUUUAGUCUUUACUUUUGAAUUUGAAUUUAAGGGUUUUUGUUGGUUUCCAAAGAGACUUUUAACAGGUUGACCGUUUCUUUGAUUUGGAGUUAAACUCUGUGUUAUUGUAAUUUGUUUAAAAGUCCAACUGCUCCCUUGUUGAUCUAAUUUAUAUCAACAAGUCAGUGUCAAUAGCUGUAAAGAAGAACCAAGAGCCUCCAUUAAAUACCCCCUCUCUAUGACACAGUGCAAGGAGGAGGAAAAGGUGCAUUAAAUUAUAUAGAUUGCAGAUGAGAAUCACGAGGGAUUUGGUACCUUAAAAACAUGCAUGUUUCUCGCACCUUUCUUCCCUUUCUCAAAUCUUAUACCUAUAUACGAAAACCCUUCUCCUUCCCCUACAUAGUGUGAGCCUUAAUUUACAGCAAAAGGGUAAGAAAGCCCCUUGUUUACUCCAUUUUUCGGCUUAUUGUUUCUCUGGUAUGUUGGUUUGAGAGGUUGAAGCUGCCAGCAUGAUCUGGAGAAGUUUAUCAAUCAUUUGGUUAAGGGCUUUUAGAGUCUUAGAUUACCAGGCAACUUAGAUGUGUUUAUAAAGAACCCUGCCUGUACUUAAGCUUCAUAGGUUGUCGGUUCAUACUAUCAGAUCAUCUUGCAGCUUCAAUCACUCACUCACCAACAAAAGAACUUUCUUCCUACCUACAUAUCAUAUGGAUACUUGAGAUUUUGGCUCUUUAAGUAAUUAAGACCUUCAUUUCCAGGUAAUUCCUCUAUGCUUGGCUCAAAACUUUUUCAUUUCUUGAUGAAGUUUUCCUGAUAUAUUGAUUUUCUAAGAAAUUGCAGUCAUCUGCAUAUCUCCUCUCUCUCUCUUUACUGCUUGCAUACAUUUAUUCAGACACUUGAUACAUGAAGCCAUAUGUAUAUGAUGAACUUUCAACUUCAUCCUGGUGCUUGUUUGACCUCUUAUUAUAUACCUUAUAAGAUAAUUAUUUUUUAUUUUCCAAGGAAGAAAAGAUAAUGUUGACUAUGCACAGUUUUCAUGAGCUGUUUGCAUGCCUGUGUGUGCAACUUUGUCUUCACUUCCUUGGUGGUAUCCAUAAUCAUAAAGUAAAACAAAAUCCCAUUACACAAGAAAAACAUGAUUGAUAAUCAGAUUGAUUCACAGUACUAUUUUAUAAUACUAUGACAUAUUGGUGUAUCACCCCAAUUACAUAUUGCAAACUAUAUAUAUACAUGGGAUUCUUGAAAUUUGAUGCCCCUUAUAAUUUACCACAAUGUUUAUUUCAUACUGCUGCUUGGGGAGUUGAACUUGAUUUCAGUGAGGAGACAAAAAUAACUGUGAUUUGGUUGCCUCAGUUGCCUCCCUCCCAACACACUGUUAGGGGACCAAUUUGAUGUUUUCAUGACCCACCAAUUUGAAUGCACACUUUCAGUAUAGUAAUAACCAUUUCACUGGGAGCUGAUGAAUUCUAUAUAUGUACAGCAAAUAAUGCAUUGAAUUGAAAGUUGUGUAUUUAUAUGCCAUACGAUCAGAAAUAAUGGCAUAUUAAUAUUAUUGGUGAGACACAGCUAGUCAUGCAAUUUAUGGUUCAUGAAUGUUUGAAUAAACACGAUAGCAUGUGAAAUGAAAUGAUUGUGUGUAUAUUUUCUUCCAUUUUUGUUUUAUCUUUAGACACAUAAUUACUGUAGGAAAGCGUAAACUAGACUCAUGUCUUCAUUACAGAACCAGUUCAUGUUUGCAUCUAGCUGGUUCUUACAAAUCUUUAGUCUCGUUCAUGAAUUUGUUUCUCAAAAUCCCAGAUUUAUAUAUUAAACAAUAAUCAGCUUGGACGGUUGGUAUUAAUUUGGACUUACUGGCAAAAAAGGAGAUAGUUACUUUCAGCAUUUAAGUUUUGAACAGCUGAUAUCAUCUGCUAUGGUCUUUUUUUUUAGUACAUGAUCUUGGGACACCGCAGUUGGUGGCCUUUUAAUUUGUGGAUCGACAAAAUCUUUAAUGUAGACAGUCAUGUCCUUAUAAGUUUUGGUUAUAGUUUGUUUCAUAUGAAAAUUUUAUUCAAAUUGAAAAAAAAAAAACCCUACUCAUAUCUCCAAUGGUUUCUCUUUUUAGUUACCAUUUCUUUUUUGGGGAUUUUCAGGGGUCAGCAUCUAGCCUAGGACUCAACCCUUUUCAUUUUCAUUACAUUAGGAUAUGUGUGUGUGUGUGUAGCAAUGUAUCCGACUCAUUGAUCGGCUGCAUGCAAUGAAUUAUGUUUGACAUCGUGAUCUGAUAACUGAACUUUCAGGGUUUUAUUUUGGUAAGGUCUGAGGUACAAGAACUGUAUCCACAGUUCCAAAAGCUUCUUAAAAUAACCCUGAGAGGCUAGUUUUGCUUAAUCUAAUAAACCCAAACACUUUUUUUUUGUGUUUUCUCAUCUUUCCUGUGGAUUUGAGAUAAAAUAAUUUACUGACUGCUCCAAUAUGUAAAUGUAUAUAUAUACAUGAAUAGUAUUUGCAUUCCUUUUCCAUUAAUGGUUUUCUUUUGUUCUAAUUAACUUAAUUUGAUUUCGAUGAUGGACCGGCAGCUACUAGCAAAAGUAGAUUCAGAGGGUUUUAAUUUUAGAAUAAAUGAUUCUGUGUGAUCUUUAUUUCCCUAGCUAGUACGUGCACGAAAGGUCAUAACUAGUGUAGUUUUUAAGUAAAUUAAACAGUAUAAUUAGUAUUAUCAUCAAUCAUAAUUAUCAAUUAUUUGAUUUUAUAAA
Gossypium raimondii (Peruvian cotton) is the source of this 2722-nucleotide long non-coding RNA. RefSeq lists it as uncharacterized. NCBI's taxonomy places the organism in Eukaryota, Viridiplantae, Streptophyta, Magnoliopsida, Malvales, Malvaceae. The record is from RefSeq and is a predicted model, not a curated record. The transcript has 2 exons.